RNAcentral lists this unclassified non-coding RNA (378 nucleotides) under uncultured Gammaproteobacteria bacterium. RNAcentral describes it as "contains 16S-23S intergenic spacer region". The record is from RNAcentral. Lineage: Bacteria; Pseudomonadati; Pseudomonadota; Gammaproteobacteria.
UCCGGUUUAUCACCGGCAGUCUCCUUAGAGUUCCCAUCUUUACAUGCUGGCAACUAAGGACAAGGGUUGCGCUCGUUACGGGACUUAACCCAACAUCUCACGACACGAGCUGACGACAGCCAUGCAGCACCUGUCUCUUCGCUCCUUUCGGCACUCCCACAUCUCUGCAGGAUUCGAAGGAUGUCAAGGGUAGGUAAGGUUCUUCGCGUUGCAUCGAAUUAAACCACAUGCUCCACCGCUUGUGCGGGUCCCCGUCAAUUCCUUUGAGUUUUAACCUUGCGGUCGUACUCCCCAGGCGGAUAACUUAUCGCGUUUGCUUCGAUACUGACAGGUUUUACCUCCCAACAUCUAGUUAUCAUCGUUUACGGCAUGGACUAC